Molecule: long non-coding RNA, 518 nt
Organism: Rhipicephalus sanguineus (brown dog tick)
Lineage: Eukaryota; Metazoa; Arthropoda; Arachnida; Ixodida; Ixodidae
Exons: 3
Source: RefSeq, a predicted model, not a curated record
AAAUAUGCGCACACAGUUCCUAUAAAUGGUGAACGAAGCAUUCGAGCACGGAUGCCUGAAGUAUGUGCUAAAGUUAUAGGCGGCGUCAUUCCAAGCAUUUUGCUACUCCAAGGAGAAACAACCGAUAUGAAAGCUACAUAUAUAUGCUUCCUUUCUGCGGCUGUCCUCGUUGUGAUUACCAAUGGCGGCCUGCCAAAUGACAAGGAACCUGAUCCAGAAACCUGCACACCAAGUUGCGAUGGAUUACAGGUGGGACAACGCUGCGGUGUGAACUGCACUUGCUGCUACCACACACGCUUCAACCAAUUUCUAAUCUGCAUAGCGGAUUCCUCAAGGACACCAUAUUGUGUUGCGCGGCCGAACAACGCAGGAGGGUAGAUCACGUGCAUUGUUCGCUCUGACCAUUUACUUGUUUACUUACAUGUUGUUGUCGCAUAUCUCAUGGGUUACGAAUGUGUCAUGCAACUGAUUAUGCAGUUACACAAAAAUGUUGAACCUAAGGCAACGAAUAAAUCAGU